CCCUUAGAUGUUCUGGGCCGCACGCGCGCUACACUGACUACUUCAACGAGUUGUUUCCUUGAUCGAAGGGUCUGGGUAAUCUUUGAAAGGUAGUCGUGAUGGGGAUAGAUCCUUGCAAUUUUUGAUCUUCAACGAGGAAUUCCUAGUAAACGCAAGUCAUCAGCUUGCAUUGAUUACGUCCCUGCCCUUUGUACACACCGCCCGUCGCACCUACCGAUUGAAUGGUCCGGUGAAUCUUUAGGACUGUGGCUGAGGCCUUGCCUUGUGCGGGUCUGGCCGUGGGAAUUUAGUUAAACCUUACCAUUUAGAGGAAGGUGAAGUCGUAACA
RNAcentral lists this ribosomal RNA (328 nucleotides) under uncultured eukaryote. RNAcentral's name for it is "partial 18S ribosomal RNA". It matches the Rfam family "Eukaryotic small subunit ribosomal RNA", at positions 1470 to 1796 of the family's 1831-position model. The record is from RNAcentral.